RNAcentral lists this ribosomal RNA (800 nucleotides) under uncultured bacterium. RNAcentral describes it as "bacterial SSU rRNA". It matches the Rfam family "Bacterial small subunit ribosomal RNA", at positions 56 to 849 of the family's 1533-position model. The record is from RNAcentral.
UGCAAGUCGAACGGCAGCACGGACUUCGGUCUGGUGGCGAGUGGCGAACGGGUGAGUAACAUAUCGGAACGUAUCCAAUAAUGGGGGAUAACUAAUCGAAAGGUUGGCGAAUACCGCAUACGCCCUACGGGGGAAAGCAGGGGAUCUUCGGACCUUGCGUUAAUGGAGCGGCCGAUAUCUGAUUAGCUAGUUGGUGGGGUAAAGGCCUACCAAGGCGACGAUCAGUAGCUGGUCUGAGAGGAUGACCAGCCACACUGGAACUGAGACACGGUCCAGACUCCUACGGGAGGCAGCAGUGGGGAAUUUUGGACAAUGGGCGCAAGCCUGAUCCAGCCAUUCCGCGUGAGUGAAGAAGGCCUUCGGGUUGUAAAGCUCUUUCGCAAGGGAAGAAAACUUACCUUCUAAUAAAGGGUGAGGUUGACGGUACCUUGAUAAGAAGCACCGGCUAACUACGUGCCAGCAGCCGCGGUAAUACGUAGGGUGCGAGCGUUAAUCGGAAUUACUGGGCGUAAAGCGUGCGCAGGCGGUUUUGUAAGUCAGAUGUGAAAUCCCCGGGCUCAACCUGGGAACUGCGUUUGAAACUACAAGACUAGAAUAUGUCAGAGGGGGGUAGAAUUCCACGUGUAGCAGUGAAAUGCGUAGAGAUGUGGAGGAAUACCAAUGGCGAAGGCAGCCCCCUGGGAUAAUAUUGACGCUCAUGCACGAAAGCGUGGGGAGCAAACAGGAUUAGAUACCCUGGUAGUCCACGCCCUACACGAUGUCUACUAGUUGUUGGUGGAGUAAAAUUCCAUGAGUAACGC